AGAGUUUGAUCCUGGCUCAGGACGAACGCUGGCGGCAGGCUUAACACAUGCAAGUCGAACGAAGGCUUCGGCCUUAGUGGCGCACGGGUGAGUAACACGUGGGAAUAUACCUCUCGGUGGGGAAUAACGUUGGGAAACUGACGCUAAUACCGCAUACGCCCUUAGGGGGAAAGAUUUAUCGCCGAGAGAUUAGCCCGCGUCCGAUUAGCUAGUUGGUGAGGUAAAAGCUCACCAAGGCGACGAUCGGUAGCUGGUCUGAGAGGAUGAUCAGCCACACUGGGACUGAGACACGGCCCAGACUCCUGCGGGAGGCAGCAGUGGGGAAUUUUGGACAAUGGGCGAAAGCCUGAUCCAGCAAUGCCGCGUGCAGGAUGAAGGCCUUCGGGUUGUAAACUGCUUUUGUACGGAACGAAAAGCUUUGGGUUAAUACCCUGGAGUCAUGACGGUACCGUAAGAAUAAGCACCGGCUAACUACGUGCCAGCAGCCGCGGUAAU
Molecule: ribosomal RNA, 495 nt
Filed under: uncultured bacterium
Lineage: Bacteria
Description: bacterial SSU rRNA
Rfam family: Bacterial small subunit ribosomal RNA
Source: RNAcentral